This 60-nucleotide microRNA precursor is filed under the name Caenorhabditis brenneri. RNAcentral describes it as "microRNA cbn-mir-74c precursor". Its record names the gene cbn-mir-74c. The record is from miRBase by way of RNAcentral. Lineage: Eukaryota; Metazoa; Nematoda; Chromadorea; Rhabditida; Rhabditidae.
UGGGCUUCCAAGUCUACCCAGCACUUAAAAAAGUGGCUGGCAAGACUAUGGCAGUCCACU